CCUACGGGAGGCAGCAGUGAGGAAUAUUGGUCAAUGGGCGCGAGCCUGAACCAGCCAAGUAGCGUGACGGAUUACUGCCCUACGGGUUGUAAACUUCUUUUAUAAAGGAAUAAAGUGAGGCACGUGUGCCUUUUUGCAGGUACUUUAUGAAUAAGGAUCGGCUAACUCCGUGCCAGCAGCCGCGGUAAUACGGAGGAUCCGAGCGUUAUCCGGAUUUAUUGGGUUUAAAGGGAGCGGAGGUGGGUCGUUAAGUCAGUUGUGAAAGUUUGCGGCUCAACCGUAAAAUUGCAAUUGAUACUGGCAGUCUUGAGUACAGUAGAGGUAGGCGGAAUUCGUGGUGUAGCGGUGAAAUGCUUAGAUAUCACGAAGAACUCCGAUUGCGAAGGCAGCUUACUAAACUGCCACUGACAUUGAUGCUCGAAAGUGUGGGUAUCAAACAGGAUUAGAUACCCGAGUAGUC
Molecule: ribosomal RNA, 460 nt
Filed under: uncultured bacterium
Lineage: Bacteria
Description: partial 16S ribosomal RNA
Rfam family: Bacterial small subunit ribosomal RNA
Source: RNAcentral